CUCCGCUCCCUCCCUCCGCAGCUUGACCCGGUAGUGAAGGCGGAGAGAGAGGCAGGCUGGGUCCGUCUGGCAGCCUACGAGAAGAGGCGGGAGCGGGAAAGGAGGGCAGCCGAGGCCCGGCGUGGGGAGGCCGGCAGGAAGGGCUUCGAGCCCGGUGCGGACCUUUUCUCAGCCUCCAAGCGGCCGCGCGGCUCCUUAGGCUGCUGCGCCGUGAGACGCGCCGACUUCCUCCAGACUAGCGCUCGGCGGGAGCAGAAAGAGCGAGACCUGGGCUUGCGGCGCGCCCCCGGGGCCGCGGCUUUGGCGGGAGCGCGGCGAGCCCCCUGGCGCGGGGCCCUGCCGUGGGAAGGCCGAGCUGGAAGAAACCUUAAGAUGUCCUGGCGCGACCACUUCGUGCUCCAGAGAAGGAAAAGACGGCUCGGAGCGAGCUUGAACACCGCGGCAGAACCCGGGCUGGAACUCAGCUCGCAGGCCCACCGCCAAGGCUCCUUUCCCUUCACCAAGUUUGCAGCCAGGAGGAGAGCCUAAAGCACAACUGAAGAGGCAGAAGCCAUCCUGCCUCUAUAAUUAGACAAGCAUGAAGAUAAAACCUUCCCUAUGAGGAUAAUGGAACAAAGUGAUAGAAGGGGCCUAGACUCCCUUCCUUUAGACUUCUUGUUAUCUGAGGAAAAUAAAAUGCUAUUACAAGUUUAAGCACAGAGAUGGGCUUCUAUUUCGUGCAUAUCAAUACAUCACAAUUCAUAUAAUGUCCAUUAAUUGGCAAAAGUAUCCAUUUUAAAGGAUUAAUAUGAGAGACUAACAGAUACCUAACUACAGUUAAAUCUCAGAAAAAUUAUAGUUUUUUAACCCAUCGUAUUUUUGAAAUUGAUCUCUCAAAGUCAGUUAUCAAACUAUUAAAUACAUUUGAACAUUGCUAUGCAUUGUUACAGUGAAUCCUGUUAUUUUCUAGGUGUAUUAUUGUGUAUGUGCCCACACGCACAUGUGUGUGUAUUUACAUAUACUCAAGGAAUCUGAAGGAACCAUGAUUUUAUAGGCCACUCAGUGCCCAAACUCAUAUCUCUUAACUCAUUCUUUUUUUUUUCUUUUUAAGAUUUUAUGUAUUUUGGGGGGCUCCUGGGUGGCUCAGUCAUUAAGCAUCUGCCUUCAGCUCAGGUCAUGAUCCCAGAGUCCUGGGAUCAAGCCCUACCUCGGGCUCUCUGCUCCGCGGGAAGCCUGCUUCUCUCUUUCCCACUCCUCCUGCUUGUGUUCCCUCUCGCUGUCUCUCUCUCUGUCAAAUAAAUAAAAUAUUUAAAAAAAAAAUAUUUUAUGUAUUUUUUGAGUGGGGAAGGGGCAGACGCAGAGAAGAGAGAGAAUCUCAAACAGACUUACAUUGAGCAUGGAGCCUGAUGUGGAGCUUGAUCUCAUGACCCUGAGAUCAUGACCUGAGCCAAAAACAGGAGUCAGAUACUUAACUGACUGAGCCACCCAGAUGCUCCUCUCUAAUUUAUUCUUUUUUUUUUAAGAUUUUAUUUUAUUUAUUUAUUUGAAAGAGAGAGAAUGAGAGAGAGAGAGAGAGCACAUGAGAGGGGGGAGGGUCAGAGGGAGAAGCAGACUCCCCGCCGAGCAGGGAGCCCAAUGUGGGACUCGAUCCAGGGACUCCAGGAUCAUGACCUGAGCCGAAGGCAGUCGCUUAACCAACUGAGCCACCCAGGCGCCCCUCUAAUUUAUUCUUUAAACCUUUCUAUUCAAUAUCCACUUCCUUAGGGAAUAAAUCCUAAUGUAACCCAUUAAAAAUGAUUUAAUGAUUUAUUUAUCUUCAACUUAUCAUUGGAGGCUUCUGGUGUGUGUGUGUGUUGUCCCAUUUACUUUAUUUGUAUACCUACUUUCUUGAGGGUUUUUAUCAUAAAUGGAUGCUAAAUUUUGUCAAAUGCCUUUUCUAUAUUGAGAAAGCUAUGUGAUUUUAAUCAUUUCAUUGAUGUGGUGUAUCACACUGAUCGAUUGGUGAAUGCUGAACCAUCUUUACAUCCCUGGAAUAAAUCCCACUCAAUAUGGCAUAUCAUCCUUUUAAUGUAUUGUUGGACUCAGUUUGCUAAUAUUUCUUUGAGGAUUUUUGUAUCUAUAUUCAUCAGUAAUACUAGCCUGUAAUUUUU
Long non-coding RNA from Mirounga angustirostris (Northern elephant seal), 2129 nucleotides. RefSeq lists it as uncharacterized. Lineage: Eukaryota; Metazoa; Chordata; Mammalia; Carnivora; Phocidae. The record is from RefSeq and is a predicted model, not a curated record. The transcript is spliced from 3 exons.